Molecule: ribosomal RNA, 727 nt
Filed under: uncultured bacterium
Lineage: Bacteria
Description: bacterial SSU rRNA
Rfam family: Bacterial small subunit ribosomal RNA
Source: RNAcentral
CAGGAUUAGAUACCCUGGUAGUCCACGCCGUAAACGAUGAGUGCUAGGUGUCGGGGGUUCACACCCUCGGUGCCGGAGUUAACGCAUUAAGCACUCCGCCUGGGGAGUACGGUCGCAAGACUGAAACUCAAAGGAAUUGACGGGGACCCGCACAAGCAGCGGAGCAUGUGGUUUAAUUCGAAGCAACGCGAAGAACCUUACCAGGACUUGACAUCCCUUUGACCAGUCCUUAAUCGGACUUUUCCCUUCGGGGACAGAGGAGACAGGUGGUGCAUGGUUGUCGUCAGCUCGUGUCGUGAGAUGUUGGGUUAAGUCCCGCAACGAGCGCAACCCUUGUCUUUAGUUGCCAGCAGGUUAAGCUGGGCACUCUAGAGAGACUGCCGGUGACAAACCGGAGGAAGGUGGGGAUGACGUCAAAUCAUCAUGCCCCUUAUGUUCUGAGCUACAUACGUGCUACAAUGGCUGGUACAACGGGAAGCCAAAGAGUAAUCUGGAGCGAAUCCCAAAAAGCCAGUCCCAGUUCGGAUUGUGGGCUGCAACUCGCCCACAUGAAGUUGGAGUUGCUAGUAAUCGCGGAUCAGAAUGUCGCGGUGAAUGCGUUCCCGGGUCUUGUACACACCGCCCGUCACACCAUGGGAGCUUAGGGCACCCGAAGUCAGCUAUCUAACCGUAAGGAGGAAGCUGCCGAAGGUGAAAUGAGUGACUGGGGUGAAGUCGUAACAAGGUA